GCGAGCCACCCGCCCA
RNAcentral lists this ribosomal RNA (16 nucleotides) under Hedychium coccineum. RNAcentral describes it as "partial 26S ribosomal RNA". Lineage: Eukaryota; Viridiplantae; Streptophyta; Magnoliopsida; Zingiberales; Zingiberaceae. The record is from RNAcentral.